UACGGAGGGUGCAAGCGUUAUCCGGAUUCACUGGGGUUAAAGGGGGUGUAGGCGGACUUGUAAGUCCGUGGUGAAAUCUCCGGGCUCAACCCGGAAACUGCCAUGGAUACUAUUGGUCUUGAAUGUUGUUGAGGUGGGCGGAACGGGUCAUGUAGCGGUGAAAUGCAUAGAUAUGACCCGGAACACCGAUUGCGAAGGCAGCCCACUAAGCAAUGAUUGACGCUGAGGCACGAAAGCGUGGGGAUCAAACAGG
This 253-nucleotide ribosomal RNA is filed under the name uncultured bacterium. Its description in RNAcentral is "partial 16S ribosomal RNA". It matches the Rfam family "Bacterial small subunit ribosomal RNA", at positions 524 to 776 of the family's 1533-position model. The record is from RNAcentral.